AGUAGAGACGGGGUUUCACCAUGUUGGUCAGGCUGGUCUCAAACUCCUGACCUCAGGUGAUCCACCCAC
RNAcentral lists this microRNA precursor (69 nucleotides) under Aotus nancymaae (Ma's night monkey). Its description in RNAcentral is "miRNA (ENSANAG00000003900.1)". Lineage: Eukaryota; Metazoa; Chordata; Mammalia; Primates; Aotidae. The record is from RNAcentral.